GAACUUAGAAGUACUUGAUGUUCUGUCAGUAUUCAGCAAUGUUUGAACACGAUGUUCAAACAAGCCGCCACUGAGCCAUGGAUGGCGAAUUGGCGGCGUUUGCGUGCGAUAAGAAGAUGUACAACAGAACAUCCUGGUACUUCUUAGUUUC
RNAcentral lists this non-coding RNA (151 nucleotides) under pig gut metagenome. The record is from RNAcentral.